This 433-nucleotide ribosomal RNA is filed under the name uncultured bacterium. RNAcentral's name for it is "partial 16S ribosomal RNA". It matches the Rfam family "Bacterial small subunit ribosomal RNA", at positions 29 to 507 of the family's 1533-position model. The record is from RNAcentral.
AACGAACGCUGGCGGCAUGCCUAACACAUGCAAGUCGAACGAGACCUUCGGGUCUAGUGGCGCACGGGUGCGUAACGCGUGGGAACCUGCCCUUAGGUUCGGAAUAACUCCCCGAAAGGGGUGCUAAUACCGGAUAAUGUCUUCGGACCAAAGAUUUAUCGCCUUUGGAUGGGCCCGCGUUGGAUUAGCUAGUUGGUAGGGUAAAAGCCUACCAAGGCGACGAUCCAUAGCUGGUCUGAGAGGAUGAUCAGCCACACUGGGACUGGGACACGGCCCAGACUCCUACGGGAGGCAGCAGUGGGGAAUAUAGGACAAUGGGCGAAAGCCUGAUCCAGCAAUGCCGCGUGAGUGAUGAAGGCCUUAGGGUUGUAAAGCUCUUUUACCCGGGAUGAUAAUGACAGUACCGAGAGAAUAAGCUCCGGCUAACUCCGUG